UACGUAGGGUGCGAGCGUUAAUCGGAUUUACUGGGCGUAAAGUGUGCGCAGGCGGCUUGGCAAGUCGAGUGUGAAAUCCCCGGGCUUAACUUGGGAAUUGCGCUCGAAACUGCCUGGCUUGAGUGUGGCAGAGGAAGGUGGAAUUCCACGUGUAGCGGUGAAAUGCGUAGAGAUGUGGAGGAACACCGAUGGCGAAGGCAGCCUUCUGGGACGUACCUGACGCUGAGGCGCGAAGGCUAGGGGAGCGAACGGG
This 253-nucleotide ribosomal RNA is filed under the name uncultured bacterium. Its description in RNAcentral is "partial 16S ribosomal RNA". It matches the Rfam family "Bacterial small subunit ribosomal RNA", at positions 524 to 776 of the family's 1533-position model. The record is from RNAcentral.